AACAUAUUGUCAUCUGCGUUUGUACUUUGUGAUUCCGUUUGUAAUUGCAUUAUUCCUCUUGUCCCCUGUAUAAAUAGUUGAGUUGAAUUUCCCAGCUACCCCUCAUUUAUAAUGAAGUGCUAUUGGGAUUGGGCUAUUAUGUUUUAUUAUAAGUAACAACAAUUUAUUUUACAGCUCCUGAACAAAACUCCACAUAAUCGCCUUGGAGCAGGAGAACACGGGGCUGAGGAUAUAAAGAACUCAGCUUUCUUCCAGGGAUUCGACUGGGAAGCUCUUAUGAAAAAACAAAUUCAGGCCCCAUUUAUUCCCAAGAGGAAUAGAACGGAAUCUUCUCAGCAAUCUAAAAAAUCCCUGGAACUGAAGCCAGACAUGAUCCCAGAACCAUUGUGGGAAGAAACCAAAUGGGCCUUAAAAGAACUUGAAUAUAUUGUGGAAACAUGAAAAGCAUAAAUGCCUAUAAAUAUGUGGCAUAAGAAUGCCUUGAACACAUGGACCUCAAUGGGCCUGGAAUGAAGAAUCUUUUGGUGUUAUGGAGAAGAGGUGUUGGGGAUGGAAAUAAUUAACCAGGCCAGAAGUUUGCAUUGAGGUCCCUAGGUCCGUAUUCGAAGCUCCCGAGCUAUGGAUUAUUUACACUGAACUCGGGAACGGCGCAGACAAGAUGCAUCAUCUGAAUUCUUGUAACGCUACCAACCCUGGUGGUCUAGUGGGACGGGGGGGACCUCCUCCAUAGCCCACCGGGGGUAGGUACUGUUACAGAGAUCAGUAUAAAAUGAUCAAGAGGAGAAUACGACAGACGGGCCGAGAAUCCGGCAGUGAUAUGGACCAGGAGUGUUGGGGGCAACAAGUCGGAGCACCUAAUGCCCCUGGGUCACUAGUUUGUGCCACUGACAAUAAUAUUAAAUAAAAAUACAUUGAAAAUUA
Long non-coding RNA from Xenopus tropicalis (tropical clawed frog), 921 nucleotides. RefSeq lists it as uncharacterized. Lineage: Eukaryota; Metazoa; Chordata; Amphibia; Anura; Pipidae. The record is from RefSeq and is a predicted model, not a curated record. The transcript is spliced from 2 exons.